CGCCGCGGUAAUUCCAGCUCCAAUAGCGUAUAUUAAAGUUGUUGCAGUUAAAAAGCUCGUAGUUGAAUUUCGGGAUUGACGUGAUGGUCGUGCCUUAAGGGGUAUGAACUGUCGCAGUUGAUUUCUCACCUUCUGGAGAAGCAUGAUGUCCUUAAUUGGGUGUCAUGUGGAACCAGGACCUUUACCUUGAAAAAAUUAGAGUGUUUAAAGCAGGCAUUUUGCUCGAAUACAUUAGCAUGGAAUAAUAGAAUAGGACGGCAUGGUUCUAUUUUGUUGGUUUCUAGGAUCACCGUAAUGAUUAAUAGGGAUAGUUGGGGGCAUUAGUAUUCAAUUGUCAGAGGUGAAAUUCUUGGAUUUAUUGAAGACUAACUACUGCGAAAGCAUUUGCCAAGGAUGUUUUCAUUAAUCAAGAACGAAAGUUAGGGGAUCGAAGACGAUCAGAUACCGUCGUAGUCUUAACCAUAAACUAUGCCGACUAGGAAUCAGACGAUGUUAAUUUUUUAAUGACUCGUUUGGCUCCUUACG
RNAcentral lists this unclassified non-coding RNA (525 nucleotides) under uncultured Glomeromycotina. RNAcentral's name for it is "SSU rRNA". It matches the Rfam family "Eukaryotic small subunit ribosomal RNA", at positions 572 to 1092 of the family's 1831-position model. The record is from RNAcentral. Lineage: Eukaryota; Fungi; Glomeromycota.